Molecule: RNA transcript, 3165 nt
Organism: Lactuca sativa (garden lettuce)
Lineage: Eukaryota; Viridiplantae; Streptophyta; Magnoliopsida; Asterales; Asteraceae
Gene name: putative alpha,alpha-trehalose-phosphate synthase [UDP-forming] 7
Source: RefSeq, a predicted model, not a curated record
UCAUUUUCCUUUUUUCUUUUUCCUUUCUUCACAUUUAAAUAAUCUCAAUCCUCUCUACUUCUCUUCUCUAACAACAGCUUUUCCACAACACCAGCACCUUCAAGAUCCAUCUCACACAUAUAUUUAGGAUCAAACCCUAGAUUUUCUUCUGACUUCCAUCUCACUUUUAAUCUCAUCUCAAUCAUACAGAUCAUUGUUUACUCCGACUGGGGUUUCCAAUUUCGAUUAGAAUUAGGGGUUUGGUGAAUUCUGGUCGAAAUUAAAAUGAUUUCGAAAUCGUAUGCAAACUUGUUAGAUCUAGCUAACGGGAAUUUCCCAGCUAUGGAAGAACCCAGAAGGAAGAUGAUCUCCAGGACAAUGACUGUCCCCGGAGUUCUAACAGAGCUCGACGAUGAUCAAGCUCGCAGCGUUUCAUCCGACGCCCCUUCAACGGUUAUGGCGGAUAGGUUAAUCGUUGUAGCCAAUCAACUCCCGAUUAAAGCUACACGGAAAAUCGAUGAUAAUGGCGAAUCAUCAUGGAGCUUCACCUGGGAUGAGAAUUCUUUAUAUAAGCAUAUAAAAGAUGGGUUGCCUGAUGAAAUGGAGGUUAUCUACGUAGGCUCACUUAGGGCUGACAUUGAUCUUAACGAACAAGACGAUGUUUCACAGAUUUUGCUAGAGAGAUUCAAAUGUGUUCCAGCGUUUCUCCCUCCCGAUGUUUUAGACAAGUAUUAUCACGGCUUCUGUAAGCAACAUCUAUGGCCGCUCUUCCAUUACAGACUACCGUUUUCAGCCAGCCAUGGUGGUAGAUUUGACCGGUCUUUAUGGGAAGCGUAUGUAGCUGCAAACAAAAUAUUCUCUCAAAAGGUAAUCGAAGUUAUAAAUCCAGAUGAUGAUUACGUCUGGAUUCAUGAUUAUCACCUAAUGGUACUUCCUUCUUUCUUAAGAAGACAUUUCAAUAGACUCAGAAUGGGUUUCUUCCUCCAUAGCCCAUUCCCAUCUUCAGAAAUCUACAGAACUUUACCAGUAAGAGAAGAAAUCAUCAAAUCACUUCUAAACGCCGAUCUUCUAGGGUUCCACACAUUUGACUACGCCCGACAUUUUCUUUCUUGCUGUAGCAGAAUGCUCGGAUUGGAAUACCAAUCAAAACGAGGCUACAUCGGAUUGGAAUACUACGGGAGAACAAUCGGAAUCAAAAUCAUGCCGAGUGGAAUCCACAUGGGACAAAUGGAAUCCAUACUAAGACAACCCGAAAAACAGACACGUGUCCACGAGCUUCAACAACAAUUCCAAGGGAAAACAAUUCUCUUAGGUGUCGAUGAUUUGGACACCUUCAAAGGCGUAAACCUAAAAGUCUUAGCAAUGGAACAAAUGCUGAAAUCACACCGAUCAUGGAUUGGACGCGCAAUCUUAAUCCAAAUCUUGAAUCCAGCUCGCGGAAAAGGUCGCCAUGUGGAAGAAAUCGAAGCUGAAAUAAGAACAAGCACCGAAAGAAUCAAUCAGGAAUUGGGGAUUCCAGGGAGUAAUUACAAUCCAAUCAUACUUAUCGACACCCCACUUUCUCUAACAGAAAAAGCCGCUUACUACACAAUUUCAGAAGCUGCAAUUGUCACAGCCAUUAGAGACGGAAUGAAUCUAACCCCAUACGAAUACAUCGUAUGUAGACAAGGUAUCUCAGGGUCAGAUUCGUCAAAUUCCCCUCAAAAAUCCAUGUUAGUAGUAUCCGAAUUUGUCGGGUGUUCACCUUCUUUAAGUGGGGCCAUACGUGUGAACCCAUGGAACGUGGACGCCACAUCAGAAGCCAUGUAUGAAGCUAUUUCAACUUCCGAUCUUGAAAAACAAAUGAGACACGAGAAGCAUUAUAAAUACGUUAGCAGCCAUGAAGUUAGUUACUGGUCUAGAAGCUUCUUUCAAGACCUUGAGAGAACAUGCGUUGAACAUUUCAGAAGACGAUGUUGGGGAAUCGGAUUGAGCUUUGGGUUCAGAGUCGUCGCCCUCGAUCCAAUGUUCAGGAAGCUGACAAGUGGCGCGAUCGUGGCCGCAUACGAACACGCUCAAAAUCGAGCUAUUUUAUUAGACUACGAUGGCACUGUGAUGCCACAAUCAUCGAUAGAUAAACGCCCGAGUCACGAAGUGAUUUCGAUUUUUAAAAAAUUAUGUAACGACCCGAAGAACACGGUGUUUGUUGUUAGUGGGAGAGGGAGAGAAGAUCUUGCUAAAUGGUUUGCUCCGUGUGAGAAGCUUGGAAUUGCAGCCGAACAUGGUUACUUUAUAAGGUGGCCGGGGGAGAAAGAGUGGGAGACGUGUGCGCAAGGGAUGAAUUUUGGGUGGAUGCAGAUGGCGGAACCGGUGAUGAGAUUGUAUACGGAUGCGACGGACGGGUCGUAUAUUGAAAGGAAAGAAAGCGCGUUGGUGUGGCAUCAUCAGGAUGCGGAUCCGGGUUUCGGGUCGGCCCAAGCGAAGGAAAUGUUGGAUCAUUUGGAAAGUGUUCUUGCUAAUGAACCGGUUGUGGUCAAAAGCGGUCAAUAUAUAGUUGAAGUCAAACCACAGGGUGUGACGAAGGGUUUAGUGGCAGAGAAGAUAUUUUCAUCGAUGUUUAAGAAAGAAAGAAGGGCUGAUUUUGUGUUGUGUGUGGGGGAUGAUAGAAGCGAUGAAGAUAUGUUUGUGAUGAUUGGGGAUGCCAUAAAAGGAGGUGUCAUUUUGAAUGUCAAUAAUCGAUCAGUGUUUGCAUGUACUGUGGGACAGAAACCAAGUAGGGCGGAGUAUUAUUUGGAUGACACAGUGGAGGUUAUGAAUAUGAUUGAGAAUCUUGGUGACGUGUCAGUGUCUGAAGAUGAAGAAGAAGAAUCUGAAGAUGAUGGGAGUGAGUCUUGAUGUUUAUGUUAAUUCGAAUACCUCUGCUUGGGGUUGUACAUUCUGAUGAAGAAAGUAAAAGGAAGGAGGGUUUUUUGAUUUUAUAGGUUAAAACAGGUGAGUUUGUUUAUUGGGAAGAUGGAUGGGAGAUUAAAAAAGAAAGGUUUUCAAUAGUGCUUUCGCAACUCUUGUCAUUUUGCUUUCUGUUUGGAAUUUUUGGAUUGAGGUUGAGGCUUUCACAAGUUUGGUUAAGUUGUAUCUGUGGAGAUCAAUUUUAUUUUUGGAACGUUAAGACAGGAAACAGGAAUGAUUUGUAUAAAGAGAAAUUAAAUA